RNAcentral lists this long non-coding RNA (1251 nucleotides) under Phasianus colchicus (ring-necked pheasant). RNAcentral's name for it is "lncRNA (ENSPCLG00000017155.1)". Lineage: Eukaryota; Metazoa; Chordata; Aves; Galliformes; Phasianidae. The record is from RNAcentral.
CAUAAAACUCCCAUCUGCAAGGCCCUCGUGCAAACACAACUCUUGUGCGGGUCCCUCGUGCAAAGAUCUUCUGCAAGCGCAACAACGUGAGACUCUCUAGUGCAAAUCCCUUGAGCAAACCCAACCCCAGACUCCCUCGUGCAAAUCCCUCGUGCAAACACAACUCCCUCACGCCCUCACACCCCAGUCUCGUGAGACCCCCUCCUGCAAAUCCCUGGUGCAAAUCCCUCGUGCAAACACAACACCAGCACAACUCCCUCAUGUCCUUACAACUCAGCCUUGUGACUCCCUCGUGCAAACACAACCACGCGUCUCCCUUGUGCAAAUACCCCUCGUGCAAACACAACCUCAGCACAACACCCUUUCACCCUACAACCCAGCCUCAUGACACUUCCUUGUGCAAAUCCCUCCUGCAAACCCCUCGUGCAAACAGAACCCGAGCACAACUCCCUUACGCCCUUACAACCCAGCCUCGUGAGUCUCAGCCCUCGUGCAAACACAACCCUUUGUGACUCCCUUGUGCAAACACAACUCCAGCACAACUCCCUUACACCCUUACAACCCAGCCUCGUGAGACUCCGCCCUCGUGCAAACGCAACCCUUUGCGACUCCCUGGUGCAAAUCCCUCGUGCAAACACCACCACCCCCCCGCCGUGCGCUCACCUUGAAGCGGCGUGCGAGGAACUUGUUCUUCAUCUCCAGGAAGUUCCCUUUGGACGCCUCGCCCUUGAAGGGCUCGUUGAUCACCCCGAAGGCGCCGUCGUUCUGGAUGUCCGUCCAGCGCGCGUAGCCGUGGCUGAGCGCUAAGGGCUGCCACCGGCACCAGGGGGCGCCACUGGGGCACCAUUGGGGCACUACUGGGGCACGAGUGGGCACCACUGGGGCACUACUGGGGCACUACUAUGUCACCACUGCGUCGUUGGGUCGCCAUUGGGCACCACUGGGGCACUAUUGGGCACUAUUGGGCACCACUGGGGCACUACUGGAGCACUGUGUCGUUGGGUCGCCAUUGGGCACCACUGGGGCACUACUGGGGCACUACUAUGUCACCACUGUGUGCUGGGUCACCAUUGGGCACCACUGGGGCACUAUUGGGGCACUAUUAUGUCACCACUGGGGCACUGCGUCGUUGGGUUGCCACUGGGCACCACUGGGGCACUACUGGGGCACUACUAUGUCACCACUGCGUUGUUGGGUCACCAUUGGGCAACACUGAAGCACUGCGUCGUUGGGUCGCCAUUGGGCACCACU